Non-coding RNA from Xyrichtys novacula (pearly razorfish), 99 nucleotides. NCBI's taxonomy places the organism in Eukaryota, Metazoa, Chordata, Actinopteri, Labriformes, Labridae. The record is from the annotation of a GenBank genome assembly.
AGAGCCGGGUGAAGUUUUGAAGCAAGUGACUAGAUCUAUAAUACAGAUAAAAGAAAAAGUAUUAUAGAUCUAGUCACUUGCUUCAAAAUUUCACCCGCC